Long non-coding RNA from Actinia tenebrosa (Australian red waratah sea anemone), 810 nucleotides. The record is from RefSeq and is a predicted model, not a curated record. NCBI's taxonomy places the organism in Eukaryota, Metazoa, Cnidaria, Anthozoa, Actiniaria, Actiniidae.
UUGAGAAAGAGGAUGCCAUUAAAAUCUAUUAUUUGAAAAAAUGGAUACUUUUAAGAGGCAGUCUCUGUAAAAGCGGGCCACUGCAUUUCGGGUCAGAAAAUAGUUUUCCCUCAAACUUUUACCAUAGAAAGGUGACCUUGAACGUAUUUUUAAGGUGAGAAGACGUAGACACAACAUACGUCUUGAAAGGGUCUGGAAUGCCUUUUUAAAACUGAGUUUGUUUAGUCAACUCGGUGAGGAAUGUUUAGUCUUCGCGUCCCGGUACGUGAUGCUCAAGACAUGGUUAGUUUUACGUUUGCUGCACACGCGUGAGAGGUGCAUUGAACCUGAAGAAGUGGUUUACAGCUGAUGAAGCAUGAUAACAGCCGUGUUUAUUCAAAGCCGACAAGUAGACAUCCGCGUUUCUAAAACCAAAAAAAUGUCGUUUAAAACACUGUUCAAGCAAAUAAAGCAAGAACAUUCUAGGGAAACAAAUGAAAAUGUGAAUAAUAUAAAAAUAAUCCAAACUGGUAAAUUUACUAUACUUGGCCUUCAUGCCCUAACAGCAUAUAAAAGACGUAACACAUGAGUUAGUAAUUCUCUUGUCAUUUGUGACUUAAUAGCUCUUAAUAGUUUAAAUGUUCAGCAUGCAUCAAAGAUUGUUGUUAUGUGCUAUCCACAGCUUAAUUGUUGAAGUAUAGUUAGCUAAGUGAAUUGGUAAAUAAAAAAUAGUUUCUUUAUAAAUAGAUGAUGUUAAGAGAGCUGCGAGUGUCUUUGACUACGUUUAAUAAGUUCCUGUCUGAGACGCAAUUAAAAACCAAAUUAUAAUAA